UGUUGGGUAGUUUAACAAAAAAAUUUAGAACUGCAAACUCUUCGAUGGGCAACGUCCCCUCCAACAU
RNAcentral lists this transfer RNA (67 nucleotides) under Xylophagaidae sp. E23. RNAcentral's name for it is "tRNA-Cys". Lineage: Eukaryota; Metazoa; Mollusca; Bivalvia; Myida; Xylophagaidae. The record is from RNAcentral. RNAcentral also lists the same sequence under 1 other name.